This 548-nucleotide ribosomal RNA is filed under the name uncultured bacterium. Its description in RNAcentral is "bacterial SSU rRNA". It matches the Rfam family "Bacterial small subunit ribosomal RNA", at positions 777 to 1322 of the family's 1533-position model. The record is from RNAcentral.
AAUAGAUACCCGGGUAGUCCACCCCGUAAACGUUGGGAACUAGUUGUGGGGUCCUUUCCACGGAUUCCGUGACGCAGCUAACGCAUUAAGUUCCCCGCCUGGGGAGUACGGCCGCAAGGCUAAAACUCAAAAGGAAUUGACGGGGACCCGCACAAGCGGCGGAGCAUGCGGAUUAAUUCGAUGCAACGCGAAGAACCUUACCAAGGCUUGACAUACACCAGAACACCCUAGAAAUAGGGGACUCUUUGGACACUGGUGAACAGGUGGUGCAUGGUUGUCGUCAGCUCGUGUCGUGAGAUGUUGGGUUAAGUCCCGCAACGAGCGCAACCCUCGUUCUAUGUUGCCAGCACGUAAUGGUGGGAACUCAUGGGAUACUGCCGGGGUCAACUCGGAGGAAGGUGGGGAUGACGUCAAAUCAUCAUGCCCCUUAUGUCUUGGGCUUCACGCAUGCUACAAUGGCCGGUACAAAGGGCUGCAAUACCGUGAGGUGGAGCGAAUCCCAAAAAGCCGGUCCCAGUUCGGAUUGAGGUCUGCAACUCGACCUCAUG